GUGAAUGUCUGCACGUUCCCACACACAGCACCAGGUGCUCCGGACCAUGCUAGGCCCUGGGGCUUAAAAGAAGACUAAGGGUUUUUUCCUUCCCGUAGGAAGCUAGUAGCCUCAGUUUGCUCAUCUGUAAAAUGGGAAUAAUAAUGGUACUUACCACAUAAGGUUAUCGUGAGGAUUAAAUGAAAUACCAUGUAAAGUUCUUACCACAGAGCCUGGCAUAUGGUGGGUGCUCAAUAAGUGGCAGGUGUCAUUGUUAUAAGUGUUAAUAUUACUCUGGUGGGGGAGACUACACAUGGAGAAACACAUAUGUUGUGGACCGGACUGGACCUUCGCAAACUGAGUGGGUCCUGGCCUUGUAUGAAUUGGUGUUUGCCCCUGAACCUGCUGCUCCACCUCCGGCUCACCCCAGAGUAACCCCCAGGAUCCAGACGGACCCAUCCAUCUACCGGAGGGGACUCCAAGCCCCCAGGGAGAGGCAGGAAUGGUCGAUGGGGAAACUGAGGCAACCAUUUGUCCAAGACCACUCAGUAAGCGAGUGGAGAUGCCAGGAUUCAAGCCCAGGGACUCCGACUCCAGAGGCAGCCUCGUGGUGAACAAUGGAGCAUCGGUGUGGAGGCAGGAGCAUGCCUGGGGCGACCUCCCGCGGGCCCUCCUAAAGGCCCCCACAGCGAGCUUUAGGUUUCCGGUAAGGUUACGGUACAGCUCUCCCAUGGCUGGACUGUGCCCCUCUCCUGAUCAUUGCUGAAGGAUCCAGGCCUUAGCUGAGCAUGCUGCCGGCCUUUCUGUCCCCAACAUUUUCAUAGGAUCUGAGGAUUACGCCUGGAAGAGGAAAAUGAGCCAGAAGCGGACUCAUUCAUAGUCCCUUUCCUGUGUAUGGAUGAACCUCAGCAUAGUGGAGAUGCUACAUGAGGUGACAGAUGCCACCACCGUCCCUGCCUUCAGGUGGAGGUGGGAGGACUGAUCUGAAGGCUUUCUUGGACACAGGACUUCUUGGGACCCUGGAGAUCAUAUGGCCACAUGGUCCAUCUCAGCCGGGAUGGGAAGACUCGCAUGUGGAUCCUGACUCUCCUGCACACCUGGGCUGCAGACAUUGGGUUCAGGUGGAGGAGGCAUCCUAGACGUCCCCGCUCUCAGAUUCCGUGAUCCUGAGUUGAACCCACCGCAGCAGAAGACUCACUGUAUGACUGGUCUCCUAGAUUCCCACCCAGGUCUGACCACACAGCCAUUCCCUCACCCUCAGAAUCCUCCAUUAGCCCCUCUACACACCCUGCGUCUGGAAGGAAGUCUUCUCUGGGGUCUGCCCCUGAGUCUUCCUGCCCACAAUUCCAG
This 1329-nucleotide long non-coding RNA is filed under the name Equus caballus (horse). RNAcentral's name for it is "lncRNA (ENSECAG00000057248.1)". The record is from RNAcentral. Lineage: Eukaryota; Metazoa; Chordata; Mammalia; Perissodactyla; Equidae.